Molecule: RNA transcript, 3662 nt
Organism: Mastomys coucha (southern multimammate mouse)
Lineage: Eukaryota; Metazoa; Chordata; Mammalia; Rodentia; Muridae
Gene name: histone lysine demethylase PHF8 pseudogene
Exons: 1
Source: RefSeq, a predicted model, not a curated record
UGGAGAAUUCUAGAACCCAAGAAGCAAGAGACCAGCAACAAAGUGGUUACAGAAGCUUCUUAAGAGGUUUCAGGUAUUUCUAUGAAACACCAGAAAGAUACCACCUGACUUCAGGGCCAAAGAAAGUGGCCUGGGAAGGGCUCAAAGGUAGAGCAGGACAUAGAACUAUUUCUCUGUUCUCUCACAGUGAAAGAAACUCUAAAGUCUGGGCCCCAGUGACCCAUCAUCAACAAGGGAGGAUGUUUGCUGCUACCUUCUCAUCCUCUUUUAACACCACAAACCUUGGUCUGCUCUAAAACCUGUGAGAAUGGCCUCGGUGCCUCUGUAUUGCCUUUGUCGACAGCCUUACAAUGCGAAUCACUUCAUGAUUGAGUGUGACCUGUGCCAGGACUGGUUUCAUGGUAGCUGUGUUGGGAUUGAAGAAGAAAAAGCUGUUGACAUUGAUAUCUACCACUGCCCAGACUGUGAGGCUAUAUUUGGGCCUUCCACUAUGAAAAAAAGGUAUGGAUCAUCUAAAGAGCAUGAAGCUCUCAAGAGGGAGCCAGUGAAGACUGGGAGCCCUAUCUUUAUUCAGCAAAUCCAGGGUAAGAUUUUUGACAGCUCUGACAAAGUGAUUUUGAAGCCCACAGGAAGUCAGUUGACAGUGGAAUUCCUGGAAGAAAGUAGCUUAAGUAUACCUAUCCUUGUCUUGAAGAAGGAUGGGUUGGGCAUGACACUUCCACCGACAUCAUUCACUGUCAGAGAUGUUGAACAAUAUGUUGGUUCUGAUAGAGAGAUUGAUGUGAUUGAUGUGGCCUGUCAGGCUAGCAGCAAGAUGAUGUUGGGAGAUUUUGUGAAAUAUUAUUACAGCAGGGAAAGGGAAAAGGUCUUUAAUGUUAUUAAUUUGGAAUUCUCUAGUACUAGGCUUUCUGACAUGGUAGAGAUGCCCAAGGUAGUUCGUAAGCUUUCGUGGAUUGAAAACUUAUGGCCAGAAGAGUGUGGCUUUGAGAAACCCAAUGCACAGAAGUAUUGCCUUAUGAGUGUGCAGAAUAGCUAUACAGAUUUUCACAUUGAAUUUGGUGGCACUUCAGUCUGGUACCAUGUACUUAAGGGUGAGAAGAUCUUCUACCUGAUCCACCCGACAGAUGCUAACCUGACCCUUUUUGAGUGUUGGAGCAACUCUUCUAACCAAAAGGAAACGUUCUUUGGUGACCAGGUAGACAGAUGUUACAAGUGUUCUGUGAAGCAAGGACAGACACUUUUCAUUCCUACAGGCUGGAUCUAUGCUGUGCUGACUCCUGUGGAUUGCCUAGCAUUUAGGGGAAACUUCUUACACAGUUUAAACAUUGAAAUGCAGCUCAAAGCCUAUGAGACUGAGAAGCAUCUGAAUACAGCAAACCUCUUCAAGUUUCCAAGCUUUGAGACCAUCUGUUGGCAUGUGGGAAAGCACAUACUGAACAUCUUUGAAGGUUUGCGGGAGAAUGGGAGAUGUCCUGCGUCCUACUUCGUCCGUGGUUGUAAAGCUCUAAAUUUGGCUUUUCAAGCCUGGACAAGGAAAGAAGUUCUGCCAGACCAUGAGGAUGAGAUCCCAAAGACAGUGCAGACCAUGAAGCUCAUUCAAGAUCUGGCUAGGGAAAUUUGUCUUGUUGAAGAUACCUUCCAACAGAAAAUCCCAAAGACAUGUACUACCUUUAGGCUCCAACAGCUCCAUACCAAUUGCUCUUCCUUAACUAGGCCAGCUCAUUCCACUUCAGUAUCCAAGUAUACAUUAUCACUGCCCUCCAAAAGUGGUUCAGAAAAGAAAAGCCCAAAGUAUAAAGACAUCUUCAAGAAGAAAGAACAAAUGAGCAAGGAGAGUCCAGCUCUGUGGCAUAAUAAUCAACAUAACUUUAAUUUCAUGGAUCUCAAUAAUCAUCAACAAUGGAAGGUAGGCUCUUCCCAAAACGUAGAGUUUAACAUCACUAGUACUUGUUUGAAUGACUCAGAUGAUAACUCAAAAUAUGACAAAGUCUUUGAUGGGAAUGAGAGCCUGGCGCCUCUGUUGAUGGCUAAUGGCAGUACCAAGAGGGUUAAGAGCUUGUCCAAUUCUUGUCAAGCCAAAAUCACAGAGGAGGAAGAUAAAUCAAGGUUGGUGGAAGAACAAGUGGUGGUAGACACAUUUGUCUUGAAUUCAAAUGAUGAGCUGCAGACUGAAAAGACACUGGACAAAGAGAAAGUGAGUCUGGUAGUAAGACCAAAAAUUGCCCCAAAUUUGCCCCAUGUGAAGUUUGACUCUGACCAAAACCAAAGUCAUGAACCAGGGGAAACUGAGAUCACCAUUGUAGAGAACUAUAAAAUAGACGAGGAAAUGGUGAAAGUGGUUGAAGGCAAGCUUAAGAAUAGAAGUGAAUCUGAUGGAAUUCUUGAUCCACUUAAGGCCAGGAAACAGGUGGGAGAACCUGGCUGUGUUGUCCUCACUGAUGACCAAGCCUCUUCCAGCAAUAAGGAGGAUAUCCAGGACACUGCGUUCAUGCCUGAAUUACAAUCUUCACCUCCCUCACCAGCUCCCUCCAAUCUCCAGGCAUUUCGGAGUGGGGGACAAGAUCCAGGCAACAAAAGCCCCAGGAGUGUCUUGGGCACAGUGUCUAACAGUCCUGUUUCUCAGCACACCCCAAGGAAAUGGCCCAUCAAGCGGCUAGUAUACAGGAAAAAUGAAAGUGAAAAUGCUUGUGUGAGUGAGCAAGACAGCUUAGGGUCAAGCUUCAAAAAACCUAGGUAUAUCUACUUAUUCCUGGAAUCUGAUGAUGACGAUGACAACGACAACCCUGCUUUCAGAUCUCCACCAAAGAAAAGGAAGAUAUCAAAUAAUGCCCCAAGGAUUCCUCCAGUAUAUGAGAGCCCAACCCUACCGAAGCAGGACCAUGCUGUACUCGAGGGCAACAGAGUUGGCUCCAUUGAGAUAGGCUUGGCUACAGCAGGUACAAAGAUGGCACAACAGGUCAACCACAAGAAGUUCAAUCUGACUAGUACAGGAAAAAGCAGCCAAUAAACAGAGAAGAUAAGACUUAAAUCCAUGUCCUCAAACUUCAGCUUUUCUGUUGCUUGAUACUUAAGUGAAUAUAUAGUUUAGUAAAAAUAUCCUAUUUAAAUGAAUUUUACUAUGGCUAUGUUUUUAAUGGGAAGUUCUAGAGAGUUGUAGAGUUUCUUAGAAAUGCUUUCUAGGGUGUAACUGGGACCCAGAAGAGACCCAGCAGGUGAAGAAGCUCUUUUACUAAGACCUGCUUCUGUCGUUUACAUCUCAGCGCUGCGUGUAACUUGGAAAUAAAGGAAUUUGAUUGCUUUAAGUAAAUUCAAGAUGAAGAAAACAAACAAAAGGACCACAAAAAUAAAAUAUAAGCAAAAGACCCACCAAUAUCUGUCUUGAGACUGUAUAUUUUUACAAAUAUUUGUGAUUCUAAUUUGAAUUUUGCUUGGGUCUAGGAAUCUUCUGCAAUAGAUUUCACCAAAAUAUAUGUAUUAGAAUUCCACUGAUACCAAACAGUUUUGAUCAAGAAUAUGCUGCAUUUUAUUAUUUCCCAAACAUACAUGUCACUAGUCAAUCAUAAGGUUGUUUUAUGAAAUCUGGGAUGUCUGAUGAAUAAUUAAAAUCUUUGGAACAAGAAAAAUGAUAUUUUGCCUAAUACAAAUAAAGGGAAACCUCUGUA